Stegostoma tigrinum is the source of this 2596-nucleotide long non-coding RNA. RefSeq lists it as uncharacterized. The record is from RefSeq and is a predicted model, not a curated record. The transcript has 2 exons. Lineage: Eukaryota; Metazoa; Chordata; Chondrichthyes; Orectolobiformes; Stegostomatidae.
GAGGAACACAGCAGGUCAGACAGCAUCAGAGGAGCAAGAAAGCUGACGUUCCAGGCCGGGACCGUUCUUCAGAAAGCCUUCCCUGCUCCUGUGAUGCUGCCUGAUCUGCUGUGUUCCUCCAGCUCCACACUGUGUUCCCUCGAGCUAAAAAAAUGUGAUUUCUUGCUGCUUCAUGUGGAAAACUGCAGUUUUGUGUACUGCCUCGUCUGACUGCUGCGGAGAGAGGGAGGGAGAGAGAGAGGGAGAGGCGGCUCCGGUUUAGAUGUUGUCUACUUGUUUCUCCAGAGCAUCCUCCAACUCCAUAAACGAUGACUGCUUUGUUUCGUAUCUGCGGAAGAUCUGUUUAAGCUGUGGGAGCUGGGGACAAACUGAACGAACUGUGAUUUCGGAAGAGAGGGGAAAUUGAGUGACCGAACUGGAGGUAUUUCAUGGUGAGUCCGGAAACCAUGAAUCUUCUCCACUGCGUAGAGCUCCAGAAGUGAGAAAUAUCGUGUUCACUUUGUGUGUGUCUGUGUGUGAGAGAGAGUGCGAGAGUUAGACACUCGCACCGACACAGGGACUUGCGCCCAGUGGGAGAGAGGGAUUGGGAAAGUUCAUCGAGAGAUGUGAAAUGAAAUUCCCCAUAUGAUGGAUUUAAAGACACAACCGGCUUUGGCAAGUCAUCUGAGGGAUACAAUUAAAGCAUUUUAUCCACUGAAUAUCUUCAAUCAAAAUGCAUGAACCUAUUACGAUAAGCUGACUUCACGUACUUUACUGCACAAAGAUCACAUGCUGCUGUAAAUGAUCAUGCUUGACAGCAUUAUAUUCUUAAAAUGAAUCUCACUGGUUGAAAUUAUAUCAAAGGCGCAUAGAGUCAAACAGCAUGGAAACAGGCCCUUUGGUGCAACCAGUCCAUGCCACACAUAAUCCCAAACUACACUGGUGCCAUCGGCCUGCUCCUGGCCCAUUUCCCUCCAAACAUUUCCUACUCAUGCACUUAUCCAAAUGUCUUUUAAACACUGUAAUUGUACCCACUUCCACUGCUCCCUCUGGAAGUUCAUUCCACACGCAAACCAUGGGGAUACUUGCCUUCAGCGGCCAAGGCACAGAUUGAAUAAAGAGGUGAUGCUGGAAAUAUAUAAAACAUCAGAUAGGUCACACAGCACGUGUACUGUCUACAGUCCUGGAAAGCACACACUAGGAGGGAUGUGAUAGCACUGGGAGAGGAUGCAGAGGGAGAUUUACCAGGAUAUUGCCUUGGUGGCUGGUGAGUUUUAGUAAUGGAGAGAAAUUGGACCGACUGGGUUUGUUUCCUAUUGAGCAGACGAAAGCGAAAGAGGGGACAUGAAUUGAAUUGCACCGGAAUUACUUUAUUGUCACAUGCACUCAAAUGAGAACAGUGAAAAGUUUAUAAUUUGCCCUCUUAAGUAUAUGGCGCUUGGGUACACAUCCCUCAGUAUAAGUUCAAAGGAAAAAAAAAGCUGGAAAAAUAAAAGAAAUAUAAAGUCCAGCAUUCCAUAUUUUAGGAAUCAAUUAGAAAUGAGAGAAAUAAAAAAGUUCAGAGCAAUGUUCUAUCCAACCUAGUCAACGAUGGCACCAAAACUCCAUUCCACAAAGGAGUAAACUCCAGACCACAUCAGGCUUCACGUUGAGGCCCUUGAAACCAGGAGACUGCUCUGGAAUCACCUCAAGGCCAGAAGCCCACACUGAGGACAAGGGACUAUCACACGAGGCCAAAAGUCCAACCUGCCAGGCCAGGAGACUGCCACACUGGGUCCGCACUGAGGCCAGAAGAUCACAACAAAGAAACAAGCAAGAGAAAAAGCAGCACAAAAGGGAGAAUAAAAAGGAGAACAGAAAAAGAAACAGACAGAAAGGACAAGCUCCAGCUGUUGCAUCCUACUCCAACAUCACCCUGGUGCUUGAUUGCAUUGUAUUAAAUGAGGAGGGGGCAUUGAUAGUACAGACAGGUUGAAGCUUUUCCCCUUUAACUGAGGGAUCAAUGACGGGGGGCAAGGGGCAUAGAUUGAAGGGAAGGGCCAGGAUAUUGGGAGGGGAUGUGAGGAAGAACAUUUUCACACAGAGGUUGCUGGGGAAUCUGGAACUGCCUGCAAGUGUGGGAGAGGCAGAAACCCUCAUCACAUUGAAGAAGCAAUUAGAAGCGCUCUUGCAAUGCCAAAGCUAUGGACCAAGUGGGAUGGGAGAACACUGAGGUGGCUGUUGUUGACUGGUGCGGACUCAAUGGACCAAACGUCCCUUUCUGUCCUGUAGAUCUCUAUGACUGAAUGAAUGUCAUGUUUUUUUCUUAAGCUUUCUCAAAGCUGUAAAUGUUUUAUGAAGUUUGAAGCAAUGACACCUGAUAAUGUAACUAUGGCCAUUUAGACCAUUGUAAUUCUCACAUUAUCAGUUCUGUAUACUGUCGGGAAAUAUAAUCAGCAAAUCUGUGGCACUUCUUAACAGGCAGAAGAAAAAAAUAGACGUGAGAAGAUUAACUUUCAAAAUGAUGUAUGUAAGCUGUCCACAAAUCUCAGCAGUGGUUUUGUUCAAGCUGUUUCUGUUCAAUUGAUCUGAUAAUCAGGUGAAAAAGGAUUAACAAAGUAAAGUUAAUGUUAAUGAA